This 253-nucleotide ribosomal RNA is filed under the name uncultured bacterium. RNAcentral describes it as "partial 16S ribosomal RNA". It matches the Rfam family "Bacterial small subunit ribosomal RNA", at positions 524 to 776 of the family's 1533-position model. The record is from RNAcentral.
GACGGAGGGUGCUAGCGUUGUUCGGAAUCACUGGGCGUAAAGGGCGCGUAGGCGGCCUUGGCAGUCAGAUGUGAAAGCCCGGGGCUCAACCCCGGAAUUGCAUUUGAUACUCCAAGGCAGGAGUUCGGAAGUGGAGGGUGGAAUACCCAGUGCAGAGGUGAAAUUCGUAGAUAUUGGGUGGAACACCGGUGGCGAAAGCGGCGCUCUGGUCCGAACCUGACGCUGUGGCGCGUAAGCGUGGCGUGCGAAGAGG